CCUACGGGUGGCAGCAGUGGGGAAUAUUGCACAAUGGGCGCAAGCCUGAUGCAGCCAUGCCGCGUGUAUGAAGAAGGCCUUCGGGUUGUAAAGUACUUUCAGCGAGGAGGAAGGCGUUAAGGUUAAUAACCUUGGCGAUUGACGUUACUCGCAGAAGAAGCACCGGCUAACUCCGUGCCAGCAGCCGCGGUAAUACGGAGGGUGCAAGCGUUAAUCGGAAUUACUGGGCGUAAAGCGCACGCAGGCGGUCUGCCAAGUCGGAUGUGAAAUCCCCGGGCUCAACCUGGGAACUGCAUUCGGAACUGGCAGGCUAGAGUCUUGUAGAGGGGGGUAGAAUUCCAGGUGUAGCGGUGAAAUGCGUAGAGAUCUGGAGGAAUACCGGUGGCGAAGGCGGCCCCUUGGACAAAGACUGACGCUCAGGUGCGAAAGCGUGGGGAGCAAACAGGAUUAGAUACCCCAGUAGUC
This 465-nucleotide ribosomal RNA is filed under the name uncultured bacterium. RNAcentral describes it as "bacterial SSU rRNA". It matches the Rfam family "Bacterial small subunit ribosomal RNA", at positions 338 to 795 of the family's 1533-position model. The record is from RNAcentral.